GGAUGUGAGGGCGAUCUGGCUGCGACAUCUGUCACCCCAUUGAUCGCCAGGGUUGAUUCGGCUGAUCUGGCUGGCUAGGCGGGUGUCCCCUUCCUCCCUCACCGCCCCAUGUGCGUCCCUCCCGAAGCUGCGUGCUCGGUCGAAGAGGACGACCUUCCCCGAAUAGAGGAGGACCGGUCUUUGGUCAAGAAUAUACGAGUAGCUGCGCUCCCCUGCUAGAACCUCCAAACAAGCUCUCAAGAACCCCUAGAAGAAAAUAUGCCUGUGUUAGCCAAUCAUGAGGCCCAAGAAAAGGGAGCUAUGGGAGAAAUAACUGCAAUGCUCU
RNAcentral lists this small nuclear RNA (325 nucleotides) under Peromyscus maniculatus bairdii (prairie deer mouse). Its description in RNAcentral is "7SK RNA (ENSPEMG00000004173.2)". It matches the Rfam family "7SK RNA". Rfam says of the family: 7SK was discovered as an abundant small nuclear RNA in the mid-70s but a possible function has only recently been suggested. Two independent studies have found that 7SK RNA binds the CDK9/cyclin T complex (known as elongation factor P-TEFb). Lineage: Eukaryota; Metazoa; Chordata; Mammalia; Rodentia; Cricetidae. The record is from Rfam by way of RNAcentral.